CCUACGGGUGGCAGCAGUGGGGAAUAUUGGGCAAUGGGCGCAAGCCUGACCCAGCAACGCCGCGUGAAGGACGAAGGCUUUCGGGUCGUAAACUUCUUUUAAGAGGGAAGAGCAGAAGACGGUACCUCUUGAAUAAGCCACGGCUAACUACGUGCCAGCAGCCGCGGUAAUACGUAGGUGGCAAGCGUUGUCCGGAUGUACUGGGGGUAAAGGGCGUGCAGCCGGGAAGACAAGUCAGAUGUGAAAUCCCGGGGCUCAACCGCGGAACUGCCAUUGACACUGUUUUUCUAGAGUACCGGAGAGGUCAUCGGAAUUCCUGGUGUAGCGGUGAAAUGCGUAGAUAUAAGGAAGAACACCAGUGGCGAAGGCGGAAGACUGGACGGCAACUGACGGUGAGGCGCGAAAGCGUGGGGAGCAAACAGGAUUAGAUACCCGGGUAGUC
Molecule: ribosomal RNA, 442 nt
Filed under: uncultured bacterium
Lineage: Bacteria
Description: partial 16S ribosomal RNA
Rfam family: Bacterial small subunit ribosomal RNA
Source: RNAcentral